RNAcentral lists this ribosomal RNA (500 nucleotides) under uncultured bacterium. RNAcentral's name for it is "partial 16S ribosomal RNA". It matches the Rfam family "Bacterial small subunit ribosomal RNA", at positions 29 to 523 of the family's 1533-position model. The record is from RNAcentral.
AUUGAACGCUGGCGGCAUGCCAUACACAUGCAAGUCGAACGGCAGCACGGACUUCGGUCUGGUGGCGAGUGGCGAACGGGUGAGUAAUGCAUCGGAACGUACCCGGUAGUGGGGGAUAACUACCCGAAAGGGUGGCUAAUACCGCAUAUACUGUGCGCAGGAAAGCAGGGGACCUUCGGGCCUUGUGCUACCGGAGCGGCCGAUGUCAGAUUAGGUAGUUGGUGGGGUAACGGCCUACCAAGCCUGCGAUCUGUAGCGGGUCUGAGAGGAUGAUCCGCCACACUGGGACUGAGACACGGCCCAGACUCCUACGGGAGGCAGCAGUGGGGAAUUUUGGACAAUGGGCGCAAGCCUGAUCCAGCCAUGCCGCGUGAGUGAAGAAGGCCUUCGGGUUGUAAAGCUCUUUCGGACGGAAAGAAAUCGCGCAGGCUAAUACCCUGCGCGGAUGACGGUACCGUCAUAAGAAGCACCGGCUAACUACGUGCCAGCAGCCGCCGUAA